This 434-nucleotide ribosomal RNA is filed under the name uncultured bacterium. RNAcentral's name for it is "partial 16S ribosomal RNA". It matches the Rfam family "Bacterial small subunit ribosomal RNA", at positions 29 to 507 of the family's 1533-position model. The record is from RNAcentral.
AGCGAACGCUGGCGGCAGGCCUAACACAUGCAAGUCGAACGAACCUUUCGGGGUUAGUGGCGGACGGGUGAGUAACACGUGGGAACGUGCCUUUAGGUUCGGAAUAACUCAGGGAAACUUGUGCUAAUACCGAAUGUUCCCUUCGGGGGAAAGAUUUAUCGCCUUUAGAGCGGCCCGCGUCUGAUUAGCUAGUUGGUUGAGGUAAUGGCUCACCAAGGCGACGAUCAGUAGCUGGUCUGAGAGGAUGAUCAGCCACAUUGGGACUGAGACACGGCCCAAACUCCUACGGGAGGCAGCAGUGGGGAAUCUUGCGCAAUGGGCGAAAGCCUGACGCAGCCAUGCCGCGUGAAUGAUGAAGGUCUUAGGAUUGUAAAAUUCUUUCACCGGGGACGAUAAUGACGGUACCCGGAGAAGAAGCCCCGGCUAACUUCGUG